GACGAACGCUGGCGGCAUGCCUAAUACAUGCAAGUCGAGCGAAUGACGAAGAAGCUUGCUUCUUCUGAUUUAGCGGCGGACGGGUGAGUAACACGUGGGCAACCUGCCCUGUAGAUUGGGAUAACUCCGGGAAACCGGGGCGUAAUACCGAAUAAUCCAUUUCCUCUCAUGUGGAAUAGUUAAAAGACGGUCUCGGCUGUCACUACAGGAUGGGCCCGCGGCGCAUAGCUAGUUGGUGAGGUAACGGCUCACCAAGGCGACGAUGCGUAGCCGACCUGAGAGGGUGAUCGGCCACACUGGGACUGAGACACGGCCCAGACU
RNAcentral lists this ribosomal RNA (321 nucleotides) under uncultured bacterium. Its description in RNAcentral is "bacterial SSU rRNA". It matches the Rfam family "Bacterial small subunit ribosomal RNA", at positions 28 to 337 of the family's 1533-position model. The record is from RNAcentral.